GCGCUUCUUGGGGCGGAUGAGGGGCCGGUUGUGGCCAUCAGGGGCAGGUUUGAGGCGCAAUGAGGCAGUUUUGGGGUGCAGCGGGGCGGUUUUGGGGCGCAGCUGGGCAGUUUUGGGGUGUGUACGGGGGGGUUUUCGGGGCGUGGGGGCCGUUUCGGGGCUCACCAGGCACUUCUUGGGGUGGAUGAGGGGCCGGUUGUGGCCGUUGGGGGGCAAUGGGGGUGGGUUUGAGGCACAGCAGGGCCGUUUUGGGGCGCAGUGGGGUGGUUUUGGGGCGCAGCGGGGCGGUUUGGGGGUGCAUACAGGGGGUUUUCGGGGCGCGGGGGCCGUUUUGGGGGCGCGGGGGCCAUUUUCGGGGCUCACCAGGCGCUUCUUGGGGCGGAUGAGGGGCCGGUUGUGGCCGUUCAUCUUGUGGUAGAGGCCGCAGGCGUUGCACAGGUAGUGGCCGGUGCCGUCGCGCCGCCAUAGCGGGGUGGCCGUGGCGCCACAGUUCACGCACUCCCGCGCCUCUGCCCCGCGCCCCCGUCAGCACCAGUACCCACCAGUACAAACCAGUACCAACCAGUACGCACCGGCACCUCCCAGCGCACCCCAGCGAGCACCAGUAUGAAUCAGUACGCAACAGCGCCCCCCAGCGAGCACCAGUACGAACCAGCGCCCACCAACGCCCCCCAGUAUGAACCAGUUCCCACUAACACCCCCCAGUCAGCACUGGGGCACACCAGUAUGCACCAGUAUGCACCAUUACACACCAUUACCCCCCAAUACCCAACAGUGCCCACCAGCACCCCCCAGUACCCACCAGCAUGAACCAGUGCCCACCAACACCCCCCAGUCAGCACCGGGGCGCACCAGUAUGCACCAGUAUGCACCAGUACACACCAUUACCCCCCAAUAUCCAGCAGUGCACACCAGCAUCCCCCAGCGCCCACCAGUAUAAACCAGUGCCCACCAACAUCCCCCAGUCAGCACCAGUAUACACCAGUACGCACCAGUACACACCAAUACCCCCCAAUACCCAGCAGCGCCCCCCAGCGCCCCCCAGUGCCCACCAAACCCCACCAGCGCCCACCAGUGCUCCCAGUCGGUCCCAGUGACCCCACACCAGCGCUGCCCCUGCGCACCAGUGCCCACCAGUACACACCAGUAUGCACCGGACCCCACCAGUGCACCCCAGUGCUCCCAGUAGGCCCCAGCAGCACUGCCCCUGCCCCCCAGCACACACCAGUGCC
This 1232-nucleotide long non-coding RNA is filed under the name Apteryx owenii (little spotted kiwi). Its description in RNAcentral is "lncRNA (ENSAOWG00000010192.1)". The record is from RNAcentral. Lineage: Eukaryota; Metazoa; Chordata; Aves; Apterygiformes; Apterygidae.